UUUAGGCAUUCACCCUGUGGUUUCUUCUCAUUUCCAGGGAUCAUUUCAGUUCUGCCAUUACUUUCGUCAUCCAAAACAUCUCCCAUUUCUUCAGCAGAAUUUAACAUUUCAUCCUCUUCAGACACUACUACAGUCUCAGCUACUUGACAUUCUCCAGGUCCAUCAUUUGCACUCUCAGAUCUCACUUCAUUCUGCACAGGUAAUCAACAUUUGUCUGGCUGAUAUCCAAUACUUCAAUCUCCUCUGCAGCUGAGGGAUUUUCUGACUGAGAAGAGCUUUCGGAUUUUCUCUCUCAUCAACUUGCCUUGGUGAAGAGUAAGAACAGGACUAUUCUUCCCUUCAGGACAGACAGUAUACACAGGGACAUCUUGUGCUUUCUUUAUGACUAUGUAAACAUUGGAUUCCCAUUUGUCUGCCAGUUUCUGUUUACCUCUUAACCGGACAUUUCUGACUAAGACCCUAUCACUAACUUCCAAGUUGGAGGCAAUCACAUUUUUGUCAAAUCUCUUUUUUUUUUCGU
Long non-coding RNA from Danio aesculapii, 520 nucleotides. RefSeq lists it as uncharacterized. The record is from RefSeq and is a predicted model, not a curated record. The transcript has 3 exons. NCBI's taxonomy places the organism in Eukaryota, Metazoa, Chordata, Actinopteri, Cypriniformes, Danionidae.